This 509-nucleotide ribosomal RNA is filed under the name Renocera striata. RNAcentral's name for it is "partial 16S ribosomal RNA". It matches the Rfam family "Bacterial large subunit ribosomal RNA", at positions 1805 to 2585 of the family's 2925-position model. Lineage: Eukaryota; Metazoa; Arthropoda; Insecta; Diptera; Sciomyzidae. The record is from RNAcentral.
UAACAAAAACAUGUCUUUUUGAUUUAAAUAUAAAGUCUGACCUGCCCACUGAAUAUUGAAUGGCCGCAGUACACUAACUGUGCAAAGGUAGCAUAAUAAUUAGUCUUUUAAUUGAAGGCUGGAAUGAAUGGUUGGACGAAAUAUUAACUGUUUCAUAUAAAAUUAAAUUAGAAUUUUAUUUUUUAGUCAAAAAGCUAAAAUAUGAUUAAAAGACGAGAAGACCCUAUAAAUCUUUAUAUUUUUAUAUAUACUUAUUUAUUAGAUUUAUUUUGUUAGUUUAUUUAAAAAUAUUUUAUUGGGGUGAUAUUAAAAUUUAAUAAACUUUUAAUUUUAAACUUCAUUUAUUUAUGAAUAAUUGAUCCGAUUAUUUCGAUUAAAAAUUUAAGUUACUUUAGGGAUAACAGCGUAAUUUUUUUGGAGAGUUCAUAUCGAUAAAAAAGAUUGCGACCUCGAUGUUGGAUUAAGAAAUAUAUUUAGGCGUAGCAGUUUAAAUAAUAAGUCUGUUCGAC